UUUGGUUUGUUACGGGUGGUUGGAUGUCUGCUUGGGCAGCAACGUCCACGCGUGCAUACCUCUUCAGUUGUGUUGCAGGGCUUGAUUGCUUACUGCACUACGUGGGUUUCUUGUGUUGCAUACCUAUUUGAUGGCACCGUAUGGAUCGAUGAAGUCCCUUUUCAUUGCGUGUCGCUAAUGCGGCGUGCUGUGGACCCAAAGGCGGUCUUUGUUGUCCAUUUUGUCAAUGCAUGUGCAUUGACGACCUGGCCGGUGGAGAAACGCUUGGUAUCUCGGAUAUGGAACCUGAUGUGGGCAAGGGGUCUCUUAUGAUCCUGCUUCUGCCCUCGUUGAGCAUUUUUGCUUCUCUGAAACGACAGCCUGUCAUGUCUCGGCUUGUUCGUGCAUGACGGGCUACGUCUACGA
RNAcentral lists this unclassified non-coding RNA (405 nucleotides) under Atractylis arbuscula. RNAcentral's name for it is "partial contains external transcribed spacer and 18S ribosomal RNA". Lineage: Eukaryota; Viridiplantae; Streptophyta; Magnoliopsida; Asterales; Asteraceae. The record is from RNAcentral.